AAAGGCUUCCAUGCAGCAGCAAUCUGAUAUAAGAAAAGAUUCUGAUAUUAAACUGUGUAGGUGACAAAUAAAAGCUACACAGGAGAUAAAUGCUAUGGAACAUAAACAUUGAUUGAAGCAUUAGUUAGAAAAUGCAUUCUUUGUUUCUCAUUUUCUACUCACUAAACUAAUUUUGGAAUUUUGGUCAUUCAAGAGUGAUUUGAUAGCUCAGCAUUGCCUUAGUUAUGAACUACUCAGCAUUCUCCCUGUGGCGGCAG
RNAcentral lists this unclassified non-coding RNA (257 nucleotides) under Hevea brasiliensis (rubber tree). Lineage: Eukaryota; Viridiplantae; Streptophyta; Magnoliopsida; Malpighiales; Euphorbiaceae. The record is from RNAcentral.